UUAUAAGCAAAUUCGACUUUUUAGGUUCAUUCAAUUAAUGAUGUAUGUGGUCCAUAAUAUGAACCAAAUACAUUCUUAAUUGAAUGAACCUAAAAAGUCAAAUUUGCUUGUAA
Medicago truncatula (barrel medic) is the source of this 113-nucleotide microRNA precursor. It matches the Rfam family "MIR2593 microRNA precursor family". The record is from Rfam. NCBI's taxonomy places the organism in Eukaryota, Viridiplantae, Streptophyta, Magnoliopsida, Fabales, Fabaceae.